RNAcentral lists this ribosomal RNA (323 nucleotides) under uncultured Chloroflexota bacterium. RNAcentral's name for it is "bacterial SSU rRNA". It matches the Rfam family "Bacterial small subunit ribosomal RNA", at positions 28 to 351 of the family's 1533-position model. Lineage: Bacteria; Bacillati; Chloroflexota. The record is from RNAcentral.
GAUGAACGCUGGCGGCGUGCCUAACACAUGUAAGUCGAACGUGAGGGUGCUAGCAAUAGUGCCUGAAAGUGGCGAACGGGUGAGUAACACGUAGAUAACCUACCCUGGAGUGGGGGAUAACCAUUGGAAACGAUGGCUAAUACCGCAUGUGACUCUGCACACGGGAGUGUGGGGAGAGAAAGCUUUAGUGCUCCAGGAGGGUCUGCGCCCGAUUAGCUAGUUGGUGGGGUAAUGGCCUACCAAGGCGAUGAUCGGUAGCUGGUCUGAGAGGAUGAUCAGCCACACGGGAACUGAGACACGGUCCCGACUCCUACGGGAGGCUG